GGAUGAACGCUAGCGGCAGGCUUAACACAUGCAAGUCGAGGGGUAACAGGGAAGCUUGCUUCCGCUGACGACCGGCGCACGGGUGCGUAACGCGUAUAGAACCUACCUUUUACAGAGGGAUAGCCUUUAGAAAUGAAGAUUAAUACCUCAUAGUACUAUAGAUUCGCAUGAAUUUAUAUUUAAAGAUUUAUCGGUAAAAGAUGGCUAUGCGUCCUAUUAGCUAGAUGGUAAGGUAACGGCUUACCAUGGCAACGAUAGGUAGGGGUCCUGAGAGGGAGAUCCCCCACACUGGUACUGAGACACGGACCAGACUCCUACGGGAGGCAGCAGUGAGGAAUAUUGGGCAAUGGAGGCAACUCUGACCCAGCCAUGCCGCGUGCAGGAAGACGGCCCUAUGGGUUGUAAACUGCUUUUAUACAGGAAGAAACCCUCGUACGAGUACGAGCUUGACGGUACUGUAAGAAUAAGGACCGGCUAACUCCGUGCCAGCAGCCGCGGUAAUAAGG
Molecule: ribosomal RNA, 506 nt
Filed under: uncultured Bacteroidota bacterium
Lineage: Bacteria; Pseudomonadati; Bacteroidota
Description: bacterial SSU rRNA
Rfam family: Bacterial small subunit ribosomal RNA
Source: RNAcentral